CACCUGGUUGAUCCUGCCAGUAGUCAUAUGCUUGUCUCAAAGAUUAAGCCAUGCAUGUCUAAGUAUAAGCUUUAAACGGCGAAACUGCGAAUGGCUCAUUAAAACAGUUAUAGUUUAUUUGGUGAUCGAUUACUAUUUGGAUAACCGUAGUAAUUCUAGAGCUAAUACAUGCGUCAAGGCCCGACUUCGGAAGGGCUGCGUUUAUAGAUACA
Molecule: non-coding RNA, 212 nt
Filed under: Perkinsus marinus ATCC 50983
Lineage: Eukaryota; Perkinsozoa; Perkinsida; Perkinsidae
Description: Eukaryotic small subunit ribosomal RNA
Rfam family: Eukaryotic small subunit ribosomal RNA
Source: Rfam by way of RNAcentral